Molecule: ribosomal RNA, 385 nt
Filed under: uncultured eukaryote
Lineage: Eukaryota
Description: partial 18S ribosomal RNA
Rfam family: Eukaryotic small subunit ribosomal RNA
Source: RNAcentral
CAAUAGCGUAUAUUAAAGUUGUUGCAGUUAAAAAGCUCGUAGUUGGAUUUCUGUCUCGAACGUUCGGUCCGUUCCUAUGGGAUGUGUACUAGAAUGUUUGAUUCAUUUUUGCGGCGAUCCUUUACUGGCAUUAAGUUGUCGGUGAUGUGGUCUCGCAUCGUUUACUGUGAAAAAAUUAGAGUGUUUAAAGCAGGCGUUUGCAUUGAAUACAUUAGCAUGGAAUAAUAAGAUACGACUUUGGUGGUCUAUUUUGUUGGUUUGCACACCAGAGUAAUGAUUAAUAGGGACAGUUGGGGGUAUUCGUAUUCAGUUGUCAGAGGUGAAAUUCUUGGAUUUUCGGAAGACGAACUACUGCGAAAGCAUUUACCCAGGAUGUUUUCAUUGA